Molecule: ribosomal RNA, 814 nt
Filed under: Candida tropicalis
Lineage: Eukaryota; Fungi; Ascomycota; Pichiomycetes; Serinales; Debaryomycetaceae
Description: LSU rRNA
Rfam family: Eukaryotic large subunit ribosomal RNA
Source: RNAcentral
GCCUUAGUAGCGGCGAGUGAAGCGGCAAAAGCUCAAAUUUGAAAUCUGGCUCUUUCAGAGUCCGAGUUGUAAUUUGAAGAAGGUAUCUUUGGGUCUGGCUCUUGUCUAUGUUUCUUGGAACAGAACGUCACAGAGGGUGAGAAUCCCGUGCGAUGAGAUGAUCCAGGCCUAUGUAAAGUUCCUUCGAAGAGUCGAGUUGUUUGGGAAUGCAGCUCUAAGUGGGUGGUAAAUUCCAUCUAAAGCUAAAUAUUGGCGAGAGACCGAUAGCGAACAAGUACAGUGAUGGAAAGAUGAAAAGAACUUUGAAAAGAGAGUGAAAAAGUACGUGAAAUUGUUGAAAGGGAAGGGCUUGAGAUCAGACUUGGUAUUUUGUAUGUUACUUCUUCGGGGGUGGCCUCUACAGUUUAUCGGGCCAGCAUCAGUUUGGGCGGUAGGAGAAUUGCGUUGGAAUGUGGCACGGCUUCGGUUGUGUGUUAUAGCCUUCGUCGAUACUGCCAGCCUAGACUGAGGACUGCGGUUUAUACCUAGGAUGUUGGCAUAAUGAUCUUAAGUCGCCCGUCUUGAAACACGGACCAAGGAGUCUAACGUCUAUGCGAGUGUUUGGGUGUAAAACCCGUACGCGUAAUGAAAGUGAACGUAGGUGGGGGCCCGUAUGGGUGCACCAUCGACCGAUCCUGAUGUCUUCGGAUGGAUUUGAGUAAGAGCAUAGCUGUUGGGACCCGAAAGAUGGUGAACUAUGCCUGAAUAGGGUGAAGCCAGAGGAAACUUCUGGUGGAGGCUUCGUAGCGGUUCUGACGUGCAAAUCGAUCGUCGA